This 171-nucleotide long non-coding RNA is filed under the name Chinchilla lanigera (long-tailed chinchilla). RNAcentral's name for it is "lncRNA (ENSCLAG00000023300.1)". The record is from RNAcentral. Lineage: Eukaryota; Metazoa; Chordata; Mammalia; Rodentia; Chinchillidae.
UUCAAUUAAAAGUGUUUUGAUUUGCAUUUAACUUUGCAGGAAUUAACUGUCAAGGUGGCAUCACAGUUUAAUGAGCUACUGGGAGAAAUUACGUAGUCUCCAGCCAGACAGUUUUCAAGCUGGUCACAUCUUGCUGCUUGCCUGAGUUUUUGGACUGUGAGAACAAACAGC